UGGGGGAUUUUGCACAAUGGGCGCAAGCCUGAUGCAGCGACGCCGCGUGAGGGAUGAAGGCCUUCGGGUUGUAAACCUCUUUCGCUGGGUUGAAAGGCCAUGCUUUGGGUGUGGUUGAUUUGAACUGGUAAAGAAGUACCGGCUAACUACGUGCCAGCAGCCGCGGUAAUACGUAGGGUACUAGCGUAGUCCGGAUUUAUUGGGCGUAAAGGGCUUGUAGGUGGUUUGUCGCGUCUGUCGUGAAAUCCUGUGGCUUAACCAUGGGCUUGCGGUGGGUACGGGCAGGCUUGAGUGCGGUAGGGGAGACUGGAAUUCCUGGUGUAGCGGUGGAAUGCGCAGAUAUCAGGAGGAACACCGGUGGCGAAGGCGGGUCUCUGGGCCGUUACUGACACUGAGGAGCGAAAGCGUGGGGAGCGAACAGG
RNAcentral lists this ribosomal RNA (422 nucleotides) under Fusobacteriota bacterium. Its description in RNAcentral is "Fusobacteria bacterium partial 16S ribosomal RNA". It matches the Rfam family "Bacterial small subunit ribosomal RNA", at positions 355 to 776 of the family's 1533-position model. Lineage: Bacteria; Fusobacteriati; Fusobacteriota. The record is from RNAcentral.